Molecule: ribosomal RNA, 460 nt
Filed under: uncultured bacterium
Lineage: Bacteria
Description: partial 16S ribosomal RNA
Rfam family: Bacterial small subunit ribosomal RNA
Source: RNAcentral
CCUACGGGUGGCAGCAGUGAGGAAUAUUGGUCAAUGGACGAGAGUCUGAACCAGCCAAGUAGCGUGAAGGAUGACUGCCCUAUGGGUUGUAAACUUCUUUUAUAUGGGAAUAAAAUGUUCCACGUGUGGGAUUUUGUAUGUACCAUAUGAAUAAGGAUCGGCUAAAUCCGUGCCAGCAGCCGCGGUAAUACGGAGGAUCCGAGCGUUAUCCGGAUUUAUUGGGUUUAAAGGGAGCGUAGGUGGAUUGUUAAGUCAGUUGUGAAAGUUUGCGGCUCAACCGUAAAAUUGCAGUUGAAACUGGCAGUCUUGAGUACAGUAGAGGUGGGCGGAAUUCGUGGUGUAGCGGUGAAAUGCUUAGAUAUCACGAAGAACUCCGAUUGCGAAGGCAGUUCACUGGACUGCAACUGACACUGAGGCUCGAAAGUGUGGGUAUCAAACAGGAUUAGAUACCCGAGUAGUC